AGUGAACGCUGGCGGUAGGCCUAACACAUGCAAGUCGAACGGCAGCACAGGAGAGCUUGCUCUCUGGGUGGCGAGUGGCGGACGGGUGAGGAAUACAUCGGAAUCUACUUUUUCGUGGGGGAUAACGUAGGGAAACUUACGCUAAUACCGCAUACGACCUACGGGUGAAAGCAGGGGACCUUCGGGCCUUGCGCGAUUGAAUGAGCCGAUGUCGGAUUAGCUAGUUGGCGGGGUAAAGGCCCACCAAGGCGACGAUCCGUAGCUGGUCUGAGAGGAUGAUCAGCCACACUGGGACUGAGACACGGUCCAGACUCCUACGGGAGGCAGCAGUGGGGAAUAUUGGACAAUGGGCGCAAGCCUGAUCCAGCCAUACCGCGUGGGUGAAGAAGGCCUUCGGGUUGUAAAGCCCUUUUGUUGGGAAAGAAAAGCAGCCAGUUAAUACCUGGUUGUUCUGACGGUCCCCAAAGAAUAAGCACCGGCUAACUUCGUGCCAGCCGCCGCAGUAA
This 506-nucleotide ribosomal RNA is filed under the name uncultured bacterium. Its description in RNAcentral is "partial 16S ribosomal RNA". It matches the Rfam family "Bacterial small subunit ribosomal RNA", at positions 29 to 523 of the family's 1533-position model. The record is from RNAcentral.